AACGAACGCUGGCGGCAGGCCUAACACAUGCAAGUCGAACGCUGUAGCAAUACAGAGUGGCAGACGGGUGAGUAACACGUGGGAACAUACCCUUAGGUUCGGAAUAGCUCAGGGAAACUUGAGGUAAUACCGGAUAAGCCCUUCGGGGGAAAGGAUUUAUCGCCAUUGGAUUGGCCCGCGUCUGAUUAGCUAGUUGGUGAGGUAAUGGCUCACCAAGGCGACGAUCAGUAGCNGGUCUGAGAGGAUGACCAGCCACACUGGGACUGAGACACGGCCCAGACUCCUACGGGAGGCAGCAGUAAGGAAUAUUGCGCAAUGGGCGAAAGCCUGACGCAGCGACGCCGCGUGGGGGAUGAAGGUCUUCGGAUUG
Molecule: ribosomal RNA, 370 nt
Filed under: uncultured bacterium
Lineage: Bacteria
Description: bacterial SSU rRNA
Rfam family: Bacterial small subunit ribosomal RNA
Source: RNAcentral